This 81-nucleotide transfer RNA is filed under the name Paralvinella hessleri. RNAcentral's name for it is "tRNA-Pro". The record is from RNAcentral. Lineage: Eukaryota; Metazoa; Annelida; Polychaeta; Terebellida; Alvinellidae.
ACCAACACCACAGAGGAUAGUUUACUUUAAAAAUACGGAUCUUGGACAUCCGAGACUGAGAAUAUAGCCCUCAUCCUCUGA